Non-coding RNA from Vigna angularis (adzuki bean), 101 nucleotides. Lineage: Eukaryota; Viridiplantae; Streptophyta; Magnoliopsida; Fabales; Fabaceae. The record is from Rfam.
UAGCUAACAAGGUGAUCAUUGUGAAGCAGAAUUCACCAAGUGUUGGAUUGUUCACCCAUCAAUAGGGAACGUGAGCUGGGUUUAGACCGUCGUGAGACAGG